ACUCUCGCCUGGAGAAUCCCAUGGACAGAGGAGCCUGGUGGGCUGCAAUCCAUGGGGUCACUAAGUGUCGGAUACGACUAAGUGACUUCACUUUCACUUUUCACUUUCAUGCAUUGGAGAAGGAAAUGGCAACCCACUCCAGUGUUCUUGCCUGGAGAAUCCCAGGGACGGGGGAGCCUGGUGGGCUGCCGUCUAUGGGGUCGCACAGAGUCGGACACGACUGACGAGACUUAGCAGCAGUAGCAGCAGCAGCCCUUAAAGAGCCUCCAUUCUAUAGUGACAGACAGGAAAUAAGAGAAGUUCUUUUAAAAAAGCAAUGAAUGGCUGCCGUGUUUUGAACUCUUGCUACACCAUACACAGCAGUCUUGUGAGGCCAUUAACUUUUCACCCAGCUAAUGAGAGAGAUUUGGAAGACAUACAGCAGUAGUGUAUCAUCAUGAGAAGCUGGGCCUGGGCGUGAUUCCCACUUCUGCAGCUUGCUAGCUGUGUAAUCAUAAGCAAGUGACUUAAUUUUUACUUGCCUCAGUUUUCUUAACUGUAAAAUGGGGUUUCUAUCUUACAGGAGUUUGGGGAGAAUGUUCAUUGUAUCUGUAAUGUAACUUUUAGAACAGUGCUUAGUUGUCAUAAGUCGGUUCAAUUUUACAGAUAAAUAAAUUGAGGUAUGGCGAGAUUUAACUACUUGUCCCAGUCUUCUCAUGCACCUAAUAAACAGUGGGAACCAAGAUUCCAACUCAAGUCUCUUUGUCUCUACAGCAGGUGCUCUUAUCCACAAGUAUACCUUGUGCUUCCGGCAAAGUUGAUUAACCUCUUGGAGGAUCGGUUGGUUCAUCUGCAGUCUGGGUUUGAUAACAGCAAACUGCCUAUUUAGCUGUGAUAAGGCCACCUUGUGCCUCUGUUUCAUCAUCUUUAUGCCUGAAGAUGUUCCACUGUGUGCCCCAGAAAGAGAAACCAUGCACGCAGGAGAUUGAGUGAAGCCAGAGGAAGAACGUGAUUGGUCAGCAUAGGCCAGUGAACUGGCUCCGUCAGGGUCAAAGUCAAUCCACCAAUCCUGUGGUCCCUCUGUACUUAAAGCACCACAAGGAGCAACGGAAUCUCUACCCUCGAGGAGUCUUAAUCGAGAGUGGAUCAUGUCAUUCUUUCCUGAGGCCCAGGAGGGGUGAGUUGUCCUGUGUGCUGUGCAGGGGCGGGGCGCCGCCCCUGCUGAAGCUGGUGCGUUCCAUUGGACAAUGUGGCCUUUUCUGCUCGACUCUCACUGGGCAUGUACAGUGAGAUGUGGGUGCGGCUGACCAUCCAUUGCAACAAUUCCCAAGCUUCCAGAGUAAGGCAUUUUCAAAUAAAAAGAUGUGUAUAUUGUAAUUACUAAUUCUGUUUACCCUCUUUUCUGUGAAAGGACUACAGAAACUUGACUUUUAAAAAUUAGCGUGUGAAAAGUCAUUCUCUCUCUCUCUCUCCCCCUGCCCCCAGAUCCCCUCUUCUCUUGCUUUGAACUACAUUCUUGUAUUCACUCUGCAACUUUUUAUUGUGAGCCUUGUGGUGUGUUGUUGAAAAUACAGCCGAGGACGGUUUUAUUCUUAUUGAACUGAGGGCCCUAAUGAGAGAUGCAGAUGCUAUGCUGUUUCUAGUGGGGUUUUAAUUUUGUUUGUUUGCUUGUU
Molecule: long non-coding RNA, 1652 nt
Organism: Bos taurus (domestic cattle)
Lineage: Eukaryota; Metazoa; Chordata; Mammalia; Artiodactyla; Bovidae
Source: Ensembl